GCGUGGUGGGCGAGAUCCCGCUGCUGUCGACGCGGGCGGGUCCCCGCGACGGCGACGCGUGGCGGCAGCGCCUCAAGGAGGAGUACCGCGCCCUCAUCGCCUACACCUCCGUCAACAAGGCCAAGGACAACGACUGGUUCCGCAUCUCCGCCGCCAACCCGGAGGGCACCCGCUGGGAGGGCACCUGCUGGUACGUCCACAACCUCCGCCGCUACGAGUUCCCGCUCCAGUUCGACAUCCCCGUCGCCUACCCCCAGGUCGCCCCCGAG
This 269-nucleotide long non-coding RNA is filed under the name Hordeum vulgare. Its description in RNAcentral is "long non-coding RNA (HVUL_LNC011000)". Lineage: Eukaryota; Viridiplantae; Streptophyta; Magnoliopsida; Poales; Poaceae. The record is from RNAcentral.